AAUUCCUUGUGGUUCCCGUGGUUCCGGAUGUGUUACUUUGUCAUAUGGACUGGUGUUUAUGUCAUCUUUCAAUGGAUUGUUCAUGCCUGUGAAUCAAUUUGGUGGCCAUACCCCUUUCUUGACUUAUCAUUAAAAUAUGCUCCUGUGUGGUAUUUAUUGGUGGCUGUUUUGCAUAUUCCAUGCUACGGGAUAUUUGCAUUACUUGUUAGACUUAAACAUUAUGUGUUGUGGCGAUGGUUCCCUCAAUCAUAACAAUGUCUAAGAAAUUAUCAUCACAACUUGGUUACUUUGGAAGCCCAGGUGUGUCAGGUUCCACAAAUGGUGUUAUUUGGGAGUGAUGGGCGGAUUUUGCUGCAGAACGUCAGCUAAGUGGGUAUUGAUUCAGUCAGGUAUUAAAUCAGUAGUUAUCUUGUGAAGUAGGAAGGAAAUAUUCGUUUAUCUGCAGCUUCUCCACCCUCAUGCCUUGGAUGAUGAGCUCUUCCGAACACCAAAGUUCAACUGAUUUCGAAAUUGUAUACCUUUCUGUCAACAGGCAAAAAUUUACUAAACUCAUUGUCUAAGAAUUAUUAAAGGAUUUGUAUACAAAGGAUGAAGCUUCAUUUUUUG
This 606-nucleotide unclassified non-coding RNA is filed under the name Hevea brasiliensis (rubber tree). Lineage: Eukaryota; Viridiplantae; Streptophyta; Magnoliopsida; Malpighiales; Euphorbiaceae. The record is from RNAcentral.